AUUAAUAAAAUUGAGAAUGGAAAUGGGGAAUGUGUCAAAGAGACAACAACCCGACCAUAGAAAAAACAACAGCAGAAGGUCACUAACAGGUCUUCAAUGUAGCGAGACAUUCCCGCACCCGGAGGCGUCCUUCAGCUGGCCCCUAAACAAAUAUAUACUAGUUCAGUGAUAAUGAACGCCAUACUUAUUUCCGAAUUGUACACAAGAAACUAAAAUUAAAAAAAUACAAGACUAACAAAGGCCAGAGGCUCCUGACUUGGAACAGGCGCAAAAAUGCGGCGGGGUUAAACAUGUUUAUGAGAUCUCAACCCUCCCCCUAUACCUCUAGCCAAUGUAGAAAAGUAAAUGCAUAACAAUACGUACAUGUACAUUUAAAAUUCAAUUCAAGAGAAGUCAGAGUCUGAUGUCAGAAGAUGUAACCAAAGAAAAUAAACAAAAUGACAAUAAUACAUAAAUAACAACA
RNAcentral lists this long non-coding RNA (463 nucleotides) under Mytilus galloprovincialis (Mediterranean mussel). The record is from RNAcentral. Lineage: Eukaryota; Metazoa; Mollusca; Bivalvia; Mytilida; Mytilidae.